UACGUAGGGUGCAAGCGUUGUCCGGAAUUAUUGGGCGUAAAGAGCUCGUAGGCGGUCUGUCGCGUCGGCUGUGAAAUCCCGAGGCUCAACCUCGGGUCUGCAGUCGAUACGGGCAAACUGGAGUGUUGCAGGGGAGACUGGAAUUCCUGGUGUAGCGGUGAAAUGCGCAGAUAUCAGGAGGAACACCGGUGGCGAAGGCGGGUCUCUGGGCAACAACUGACGCUGAGGAGCGAAAGCGUGGGAAGCGAACAGG
This 253-nucleotide ribosomal RNA is filed under the name uncultured bacterium. RNAcentral describes it as "partial 16S ribosomal RNA". It matches the Rfam family "Bacterial small subunit ribosomal RNA", at positions 524 to 776 of the family's 1533-position model. The record is from RNAcentral.